This is a transfer RNA of 74 nucleotides. It matches the Rfam family "tRNA". Rfam says of the family: Transfer RNA (tRNA) molecules are approximately 80 nucleotides in length. Their secondary structure includes four short double-helical elements and three loops (D, anti-codon, and T loops). Further hydrogen bonds mediate the characteristic L-shaped molecular structure. tRNAs have two regions of fundamental functional importance: the anti-codon, which is responsible for specific mRNA codon recognition, and the 3' end, to which the tRNAs corresponding amino acid is attached (by aminoacyl-tRNA synthetases). tRNAs cope with the degeneracy of the genetic code in two manners: having more than one tRNA (with a specific anti-codon) for a particular amino acid; and 'wobble' base-pairing, i.e. permitting non-standard base-pairing at the 3rd anti-codon position.
GCGGAUCUCGUACAGUGGCAGUACCUCGGCGUGCCAAGCCGGCAACGUGGGUUCGAUUCCCGCGAUCCGCUCCA